GCCCAAGCUGGUCUCGAACUUGCAAUGAUUCUCCUGUCUCAGCCUCCCGAGUGCUGGGAUUACAGGUGUGUGCCACCACGCCUGCUUCUAUGUCCUCUUUUGAGGAUGGUGCAAGGCAGUAAGAGGAGGGAUUCAGAACCACGAUGCGUGUUCCCUCCCUGGGAAGGCCAUGCCCAGGAUGUUUUUUCCCUUAACAAGCACAGUGCACCCCGUAGAGGAUGGCUUUAACCAACACCUAACUUGCUCCUUCCAGUCCCUCUCCUGAGUUUUGGAGCUGUUUGUCCAGCUGUCUCUGGACAGUUCUGGACUCCUCAAUUCAACCCUGACCUAUUGCUUAUCUCAUGUUCAAAACAAGACUCAACAUCUUUCUCCUCUAAUAUGUUCCUCUUUCUGAACUUUUCCUUAGUGGAAUGUGACAGCUAGUCUUUUCCAAUGAAGUCUUUCAUGGGGGGAAAAAAGCCUACUUUUCAAACAUUUAGUAUCCAUAUCAUAAUUUUACAUGAUUUAUAAUUUCAUGAUAAAACAUCAGCAUAGGAAAAGUUAUGCUGGAAGUUACUUCAUCAAACUAAUUUUCCAACAGGACAAAAGGGUGGUCAUUGAGAUUCUAUAUUUAAAACCUGUUAUUUCCUAGAUCCCAGCCUACUCAAGGUUAUAGAGUCACCUUGGAUUACCAUGGAUUAGUGACCAAGUUGAGAUUGCAGAUUUUGCCUUUCCUGUGCCUACAUCAACAUAGAAAGGGUGUCCUUUCUCAAUGUUCUACAGACAUACUCAUGUCCAAUGAGACACAUUACACUCUCUGAAGAAAAAGGAUUUGUUAGUUAAGUAUUUAAAUAUUAGAUUUAAGUUAGUCAGAUUUCUCUGAAUUUUUAACAUGCUUUCAUUGUAAAUCUCCAAGAAAUAGACAUACUGCUAUAUUUGAUAGGAUUUCAUUCAGCUGCAUGAACAGAAACUCAAUUCAGUCGCUUAACCAAAAUGAGAGUUUGUUUUCUUUCUAAUGAUGAGAAGUGAGGAGGUAUACAGUCUGAUACAGUGCGGUUGUUCAAGGAAAUCAUCAGGAUUUGUGUAGUUUUCUUCCUCAUGGGCAUAAAUGGCUGCUCUGCCUUUAGGAUCUGUGUUCCUGUUUUAGGCAAGAGAAAUGGAAAAAGAGAGAAAAAACCCUGACACACACCAGCCAGCUCUUAAGUACCUUUCCUAGCAGCCCUACCCACUUGCUUACGUCUAACUGUUCAAAAUAGCCUCUCUGGACUUAAAGGAAGUCCUGGGAGCCAAAUAUUCCACCCAGCUCAUUGCCAUUCUUUGCUCUGUUAGGAUUGUAUUAGGAAGAUGAGAUGUUAGAUACUGGGGGGACCACUAGGCGUGCAUGAGGUGUCAUCUAAAACUGGAGUGAAUUUUUAAAAUUUUAAAAAUGUGUUACAGUAAAAGGCACAUUACCAAUAAUCCCUCUCAAAAUACCUUCCCUCGAAAUGCUCUCCUGUGAUUGGACGGAUUUAUCCUAUCAUUCCCACCACUUUCUGAAGCAGUUCUGGACGUCAUCUUCCAGGAGUGAUUUCAGUUGCACUUUCAUGGCUGCCUCAUGUCCUGAACUGAUUCAGAGUUUACCUCUCAGGGUCAUUUUGCCUUUGGAGAAGAACUAUAAUCCUCCUGGUGUCAGAUCUGAUGAAUAAGGUUAGGACACACCCUGGUGUUUUCACCAGCCUGCCUUUCUGUUGGAUGGCACUUGGCAGUUGUAGCCACUGUAUUUUUUGUUAUAACUCAUAAAGAUAUUCAUGAAAAGGGUGUCCAGACUGCUUCAGCAAGUGGCAGGAAUGAUGGCUAAAUAUAUUCAACAUGAGGUGGGAUCUCCUGAGGGGGAUUAAUGGCCAUGUGUCUUUUACUGUCACACAAUCAGAAAACAACAAAGCCCUUAAACAUUCACCGUAAUUUUCGAUCACACCACAUAUGUCAUCAAAAGCGAGCACUGUGACAGAUGUAUUUGGCUCCAGUAUCUAUUGUCAUCUUCUCUGGCUCCUUUCUGUUGGCAGAUGGGGCUUGUGUCAUUUGGCUUGGCACCCAAACUUUCUGUGAUGUCCCAGAUCCUUGCCACGGGCUCCUGGCCACUCACAGUGAACCUCCUGCGGGCUCUGAGGUGCACAACUUCCUCCUCUCUGCUCCUGGCAGAUACCGGAGGUCAUCAUUUGAAACUCAGUUCUGACAAUCGCUGCUGUGACAACUUUCUUUCUUACACUCUCCUCUUCCAGCAGGGUUAGCUGCCCCUUGACUUCCCCAUGCUACCCUCUACACUAUUUAAUUAUUCUGUCACACUUUUCCCUUAUAAAUUGAGUGAUUAAGAACCCAAGAAGCAAACUGAAUGUGUACUUUAAUGAUGGCAAACAUUCAUAUGAAAAAAAAAGAAUAGAAAGGAAUGUCUCCAAAUACUCCACAUGACUCUGGCUCCUUGAUGUUCAGCAAUACCAUGUAAUUUCAUUUCAUUUUGUUUUUUUACAUUUCAUCUUACAAAAUACAACAAUUUAAGGCAGGAUAUAAAAAAAGCCCUAAAGAGUGACACAGAGGUCACCAGGCUCAGGUGCAGCAAUUGGGCCCAGGAAGUUAGAAGACCUUCGUGGAAAGGUGGACUCAAGCUGGGCACCGACAGCUGGGUAGGCGGUUAGUGGAAGGGAGAGUGCGGGUGAGCCUUGCUGGUGUGGGUCACAGACAUGCCCAGGUGUGGACAUGCAAAGGGCCUCAGGAAGUGGGUCGAGGCUCUCAGGAGGGGAGGAUUCAUGGGGAUCCAUGGAAAUGGGGGACAGAGGAAGGAGAGCAGGACCAAGGAGUUAAAGGCUGUGAUGGCUCAUGGGAGGCACAGGAUUAUAACUAGCAUUGGCAGAAGUGGCACAUUUCCAGGGAGGACCUGGAAGGCGGGCUGAGGAGUCCUCAGUGCAGGGGUCGACUCUAAGAUGAUGAUUGCAAACCGAGAAAGGGAGAGGGACGGGAGGAGAAUGAAGGGAUGGACAGGGCUCUGAGCACAGAGUGAGCAGAAGACUGGGAAGGAGGGAAGGGUGACCUGGCAGCUCUGAAUCGCGUCAGCUGAAAGAAUGAUAGUAUCUUUUUCAAGAACUGGAAAGUCAGGAAAUUCUGUUGGCGUGGGAGGUGGCAUGAUUCCAUCCGGGACUGGCGACUGAGAGGGGCUGGCAGGCCAGUUCUGUCCAGCAGACAGUCACCGACGAGCUUUUCACAGAGCCGUCCAGUCUCCAGGUCCAGGUAGAGUUGAAGCAGGAGGGGAAAGGGACUCUCUAAGGAAAGCCGGCAUUUACAAACAUUUACGAUCACCGGGUGAGGGAGGUGUGGAUUCCUAUCUUUUACUCUGCAAAAAAAAUCAAGACCCGCAGACUUAAGGAGAAAAAAUAAAGAAACAUCAAGAAGCAAACAAAGAAAACAUCAAUAAAAGCAAACAACAACAGAAAGCAAUAGCGCGCCAGGAUUUCAAGAUGACAGGGAUUUAACAGUGGUUCUUAGAUUGCAUGUUGUUAUCUUCAAAAAAGCUGCCUAGGUUGUGACUGUACUUGUAAUCCUAUUACUUGACCAUAGUUUUGCCCCACCUUAUACUGACCUUGUGAUUUUACUCCAUAAAGCUUCUCCUGAGAAGUGGGCUGAUUGGUUACCAUUUUCUAGGUCCCCCUUCUGUCUUAGACAAAACCCAAUAAAUAUUUCCUGCUCUGAACCCCUGAUGCUCUUUAGAAUUCAUUCUUUGAUUCUGGGGAACAUGAACUCAUGUUCCCAAUCUGUCAGAUUGGGAGUUACAUUGUUUCUCUUACAAUGUUUGCAUUAUUUGGAGGGCCUAUAUCAUUCCUAUAUCACCAUGACAACUACUAAAAAUAAAUAAUAAAACUAAAAUUUGGUAUCCCAUAACUGAAUUUUUUCUCUUAACUGGUUCUUCAUAUCUAAGGAUUACUAUCAGCUAUUUUAAACAACGCAAAAACAUUGCCUUGUUUC
Cavia porcellus (domestic guinea pig) is the source of this 3969-nucleotide long non-coding RNA. RefSeq lists it as uncharacterized. The transcript is spliced from 3 exons. The record is from RefSeq and is a predicted model, not a curated record. NCBI's taxonomy places the organism in Eukaryota, Metazoa, Chordata, Mammalia, Rodentia, Caviidae.